GACGAACGCUGGCGGCGUGCUUAACACAUGCAAGUCGAACGGGAAGGCCCUGCUUUUGUGGGGUGCUCGAGUGGCGAACGGGUGAGUAACACGUGAGUAACCUGCCCUUGACUUUGGGAUAUCUUCAGGAAACUGGGGCUAAUACCGGAUAGGAGCUCCUGCUGCAUGGUGGGGGUUGGAAAGUUUCGGCGGUUGGGGAUGGACUCGCGGCUUAUCAGCUUGUUGGUGGGGUAGUGGCUUACCAAGGCUUUGACGGGUAGCCGGCCUGAGAGGGUGACCGGCCACAUUGGGACUGAGAUACGGCCCAGACUCCUACGGGAGGCAGCAGUGGGGAAUAUUGCACAAUGGGCGGAAGCCUGAUGCAGCAACGCCGCGUGCGGGAUGACGGCCUUCGGGUUGUAAACCGCUUUCGCCUGUGACGAAGCGUGAGUGACGGUAAUGGGUAAAGAAGCACCGGCUAACUACGUG
RNAcentral lists this ribosomal RNA (468 nucleotides) under uncultured bacterium. RNAcentral's name for it is "partial 16S ribosomal RNA". It matches the Rfam family "Bacterial small subunit ribosomal RNA", at positions 28 to 507 of the family's 1533-position model. The record is from RNAcentral.